This 253-nucleotide ribosomal RNA is filed under the name uncultured bacterium. RNAcentral describes it as "partial 16S ribosomal RNA". It matches the Rfam family "Bacterial small subunit ribosomal RNA", at positions 524 to 776 of the family's 1533-position model. The record is from RNAcentral.
UACGGGGGGGGCAAGCGUUGUUCGGAAUUACUGGGCGUAAAGGGCUCGUAGGUGGCCAACUAAGUCAGACGUGAAAUCCCUCAGCUUAACCGGGGAACUGCGUCUGAUACUGGAUGGCUUGAGUUCGGGAGAGGGAUGCGGAAUUCCAGGUGUAGCGGUGAAAUGCGUAGAUAUCUGGAGGAACACCGGUGGCGAAGGCGGCAUCCUGGACCGACACUGACACUGAGGAGCGAAAGCCAGGGGAGCAAACGGG